Molecule: ribosomal RNA, 513 nt
Filed under: uncultured bacterium
Lineage: Bacteria
Description: partial 16S ribosomal RNA
Rfam family: Bacterial small subunit ribosomal RNA
Source: RNAcentral
GACGAACGCUGGCGGCGUGCCUAAUACAUGCAUGUAGAACGCUGACUACUUUAGCUUGCUAGAGUAGAAGGAGUUGCGAACGGGUGAGUAACGCGUAGGUAACCUGCCUACUAGCGGGGGAUAACUAUUGGAAACGAUAGCUAAUACCGCAUAACAGUGUUUAACACAUGUUAGAUGCUUGAAAGAUGCAAUUGCAUCACUAGUAGAUGGACCUGCGUUGUAUUAGCUAGUUGGUGGGGUAACGGCCAACCAAGGCGACGAUACAUAGCCGACCUGAGAGGGUGAGCAGCCACACUGGGACUGAGACACGGCCCAGACUCCUACGGGAGGCAGCAGUAGGGAAUCUUCGGCAAUGGGGGCAACCCUGACCGAGCAACGCCGCGUGAGUGAAGAAGGUUUUCGGAUCGUAAAGCUCUGUUGUAAGAGAAGAACGUGUGUGAGAGUGGAAAGUUCACACAGUGACGGUAACUUACCAGAAAGGGACGGCUAACUACGUGCCAGCAGCCGCCGUAA